UGAUUUUUUAAUCAAAGUUGGGGUGAAAAUGAUUUUCACCCAUAUAUCAAUUGAAUGAUGAGUGUAUUAAUAGAAUAAAAACAACUCAGAUCCAUUACUCUUUACAACAAUUUGGAUAGAAAUACAUUAUUCUAUAAAAUAAUUUAAGAGAGAUACAUAAUUAUUAUGUAUUCGAUACAUGGAUCUGGCAAAAAUAUGUGUCUCCAUACAAUUUUUUAUGCAUCUCACUAUCUGUUUGUUCGAAUAUAGUCUAUAAUACCUUUUUGAAGCACCAACUCUUUUUAUCAUAAAACUGAAGCAUCUCUUUACAUAUGGGGAUUAAGAAUUUGGACCAUGAUCAUUUACAGAGCUAUGAAUAUUUAUAUAUAAUUAAUCCUUUUAGUCGUUUUCCACGAUAUUUAAGGUGUCAUAAUUACUAUAUUUCUCCUUGUAUUUUCUUUCACUCUUUGUACUCUUUAUGUUUAGCAAAAAAUUAGACAAGUAUAAUUUUCAAUACUAUCUCAAAAGAAACUGCACUGGAGACUUUCGGUUAACUGUAAGUAUAUGUACACCAAGUUAUUUAGGGACCUUAUCAAAAUACUGGUACAAUUUUCUCAACUUCAAAAAAAAGGUAAACAGGCAAAGAGACAAACAGAGAAAUGCGCUGAAUUGCUUGUUCAGGGACUAACACAAUCCACAAUCAUUGAGACUGAAGCAUCAGAAUAAUUGAGCAACUUAUUGAGUUGAUUGCCCAAGUAAUUAGUUGCCAACCCGCCAUAUCUUUGAAAUAAGGAGAGGGAUUCAUGAUCUUCCUUGACCAAAUCACUACUUUUUGCUUUCCUCGUGGAAAAGGGUUCUGCAGCUACAUCUUCAUCUUGACAUGCCUUGUUUUGCAACUUCGCAACCUCAUUUGUCCACAUAUCUAUCAGCCCAGACAUUCUUCUUUAAUUUCCUUCACCCUUUUUCAACUUCAAACAAGAAAAAGAAGAGCUUAUUAUUUCUUUUGUAGAUGCUUGGAAUUUUGUUGUGCCUUGAAGUAUCACCAAAUCUCUGCUUAUAUAUUAUAAGGGUGUGUAACUGCAAUGCAAAAGCAAGACAGGAUAGGAAGUGUGAUUCUGGUUGGCCGCCCACAUAUUUCCAUUUUGUUGAUGGGAUGUCAAAGACAGAAAGGAGAGUGCAGGUUGGGUCCAAAAACUGUGGAUCCAAAGUGGGGAAUUGGAAAUCAUGUGCCCGCGCGCUUUUAUCCGGUUUCGGCCCAUAGUUUUAUAUACUUCUUUAAUGUUUCAUAUGGAGUGUUAUCUAAAGGAUAAAUUACAUGUAUUUUUAUACUUCUAAAAUAUACUAUCGUAGGUCACCAAUUCAAGUUGAUGGAGAAACAAUUUUAUUUGUAAAUACUCAUCUGUCUUAUUUUAGCUGUUCACUUUUUUUUCUACACGCA
RNAcentral lists this long non-coding RNA (1417 nucleotides) under Capsicum annuum. Its description in RNAcentral is "long non-coding RNA (CANN_LNC022609)". The record is from RNAcentral. Lineage: Eukaryota; Viridiplantae; Streptophyta; Magnoliopsida; Solanales; Solanaceae.